Long non-coding RNA from Triticum aestivum (bread wheat), 1445 nucleotides. RefSeq lists it as uncharacterized. Lineage: Eukaryota; Viridiplantae; Streptophyta; Magnoliopsida; Poales; Poaceae. The record is from RefSeq and is a predicted model, not a curated record. The transcript has 2 exons.
CCAUCCUCCCCCUCGCACGAUCCCUCGCGUGAAAAAAAAUCGCCAAAGAAAACCAACGUUCCAAGCCAAAGAAAAGCUAGGGAAAAAAGUCCCCACGUUCUCCACCUUCUCCAUCCCUCCCCCACAUGCCGAUCUUUCCCAGGCCUUUCUCUCCCAAAUCCCGAACCAUCCCGUCUCCGUCCACCCAGAUCUGCUCUCUCGACGUCGCACCUCAAGGGUCUCCUCUCUCUCUCUCUCUCUCUCUCUCUCUCUCUCUCUCUCUCUCUCUCUCUCUCUCUCUCUCUCUCUCUCUCUCUCUCUCUCUCUCUCCGGCAACCGCGGGGGGACGCGCCGGCGCAGCCGUCCAAGCAUGCCCGCCUGGACACCUCGUUGGGAUUCGUCUGUGGGCUCGACCUAGGGCGCCACUACUCUCACAGCCAUGGGGCACGCGUCUUUUCCAACCUGCAUGCUCUCGCAGGGAGCCUGGCUGUGGACAUGUCAUCGUGAUGACGCUGGGGUCGUACAUCAUGGUCGCCGCCCCUGUCACAUCCAUGGCGACGACGGGGGUGCCGGUCGAGCUACCGAUUCCACCCGACGGACGAGGAGCUAGAGGUCGACUCGUACCUGCCGCCACUCUCCCACGUCUGCAAUCGUGAUGGCCAAUGGCGCUUGGUCCGCACGGCACGACACGCGUGUCCGGGAAGACCAACACGUGCAACGACCACAUCCUCGACAACGCCCCUGGGUGCUACCUGAACAAGCUUCUCACAUGGAUCUAUCUCUUUUCCUUUUUGCUUUGAGGUUGUGCUUGUCCGUGAAAAUAUAUGGUUGAUUGAUGAACUUUGUCUUCGUGUCUGUUUCAGAUCCUUAACGUCUUAAAAGACACGUCAGUCGGUCUGGAUGUGCAUCUCUCUAAUCUCUGAGCUAGCUAACUCCAUGCCGACGACCAACUAUGUGCGGAUGCCACAUCCAGGACAGGUGCGCUCCUGGAAGCAGCUCGACGUUGCCCUAGGCUUUACAUUCUGGUAAUGUGAAUAUCCAUCUGCCUCCUCUGCUCAGAGUCAUUGUUCUGAAACCCUGAAGUUUAUAGUAAGUUCACCCUCUACUGUUGUCGCAAGCAUCAUACAAUUAAAAUAGGUAAAUAGUACAACAAGUGGUUCGGUUCAUAGUGGGAUCCGGUAUGUCAUGCUCCUUCUACGAACAACAAAGACAAUGCAGCGACAAUUAAUCAGAGCUGCUGGUGAAUAAUAUGACUACAGAGAGUUGAGAUGUCACUAAUGGCUUCACCUAUGAGCUAUGAGUUGUCAAGGCUAUAUUAUUUAUCAUUUAUUUCAUGUAAUAUUGAUCAUGAUUAUAGCAACAGAGAAUACUUCCAUGUAGUUGUCUGAAUAUGGCAUGAAAGCCAAGUGUAAGGGCAAAAUUUAAGAUUCCCUUGUAUCAUUAGAAAAAUCAUUGUCUCACUUUUU